RNAcentral lists this non-coding RNA (26 nucleotides) under Homo sapiens (human). Lineage: Eukaryota; Metazoa; Chordata; Mammalia; Primates; Hominidae. The record is from RNAcentral.
UGCCACUGCCGCUGCUAUUUUUUGAG